UACGUAGGGGGCUAGCGUUGUCCGGAUUUAUUGGGCGUAAAGAGCGUGUAGGCGGCCAGGUAGGUCUGCUGUGAAAACUCGAGGCUCAACCUCGAGACGUCGGCGGAAACCAUCUGGCUAGAGUCCGGAAGAGGAGAGUGGAAUUCCUGGUGUAGCGGUGAAAUGCGCAGAUAUCAGGAAGAACACCGAUAGCGAAGGCAGCUCUCUGGGACGGUACUGACGCUGAGACGCGAAAGCGUGGGGAGCGAACAGG
RNAcentral lists this ribosomal RNA (253 nucleotides) under uncultured bacterium. RNAcentral's name for it is "partial 16S ribosomal RNA". It matches the Rfam family "Bacterial small subunit ribosomal RNA", at positions 524 to 776 of the family's 1533-position model. The record is from RNAcentral.